This 66-nucleotide transfer RNA is filed under the name Marmota monax (woodchuck). Its description in RNAcentral is "tRNA.Ala". The record is from RNAcentral. Lineage: Eukaryota; Metazoa; Chordata; Mammalia; Rodentia; Sciuridae.
GGUUUGUGGCUCAGCGGUAGAACGCAUGCCUUGCACGUGAGGCACUGGGUUCGAUCCUCAGCACCA